RNAcentral lists this ribosomal RNA (300 nucleotides) under uncultured Mycoplasma sp. RNAcentral's name for it is "bacterial SSU rRNA". It matches the Rfam family "Bacterial small subunit ribosomal RNA", at positions 496 to 795 of the family's 1533-position model. Lineage: Bacteria; Bacillati; Mycoplasmatota; Mollicutes; Mycoplasmatales; Mycoplasmataceae. The record is from RNAcentral.
GCGAACGCCGUGCCAGGUGCCGCGGGAAGACGGGGGGGGAAAGCGUUAAUCGGAAUCACUGGGCGUAAAGGACGCGUAGGCUGUUUAGCAAGUCAGGUGUGAAAUCCUAUGGCUCAACCAUAGAACUGCACUUGAAACUGCUAGACUAGAGUAUGGGAGGGGGAGAUGGAAUUAGUGGUGUAGGGGUAAAAUCCGUAGAUAUCACUAGGAAUAUCUAAAGCGAAGGCGAUCUCCUGGAACAUUACUGACGCUAAGGCGUGAAAGCGUGGGGAGCAAACAGGAUUAGAUACCCCAGUAGUC